GAGUUUGAUCCUGGCUCAGAACGAACGCUGGCGGCGUGCCUAACACAUGCAAGUCGAACGGAUUUGAGGAGCUUGCUUCUCAAGUUAGUGGCGCACGGGUGAGUAACGCGUAGAUAAUCUGCCUGAUGAUCUGGGAUAACACUUCGAAAGGGGUGCUAAUACCGGAUAAGCCCACGGAGUCUUUGGACUUUGCGGGAAAAGGGGGGGACCUUCGGRCCUUCUGUCAUCAGAUGAGUCUGCGUACCAUUAGCUAGUUGGUAGGGUAAARGCCUACCAAGGYUACGAUGGUUAGCUGGUCUGAGAGGAUGAUCAGCCACACUGGAACUGAGACACGGUCCAGACUCCUACGGGAGKCAGCAGUGGGGAAUUUUGCGCAAUGGGCGAAAGCCKGACGCASCAACRCCGCSUGAGUGAUGAAGGCUUUCGGGUMGUAAAKCUCUGUCGAGGGGAAAGAAGUGUAUUAGGGCUAAUAUCCCUGAUACUUGACGGUACCCCUAAAGGAAGCACCGGCUAACUCCGUGCCAGCAGCCGCGGUAAUAC
This 540-nucleotide ribosomal RNA is filed under the name uncultured Geobacteraceae bacterium. Its description in RNAcentral is "bacterial SSU rRNA". It matches the Rfam family "Bacterial small subunit ribosomal RNA", at positions 9 to 526 of the family's 1533-position model. Lineage: Bacteria; Pseudomonadati; Thermodesulfobacteriota; Desulfuromonadia; Geobacterales; Geobacteraceae. The record is from RNAcentral.